This 786-nucleotide ribosomal RNA is filed under the name uncultured fungus. RNAcentral describes it as "eukaryotic LSU rRNA". It matches the Rfam family "Eukaryotic large subunit ribosomal RNA", at positions 30 to 821 of the family's 3401-position model. The record is from RNAcentral. Lineage: Eukaryota; Fungi.
GAACUUAAGCAUAUCAAUAAGCGGAGGAAAAGAAACUAACAAGGAUUCCCCUAGUAACUGCGAGUGAAGCGGGAAAAGCUCAAAUUUAAAAUCUGGUGGUCCCGAGUUGGCUGCCCGAGUUGUAAUCUAGAGAAGUGCUUUCCGCGCUGGACCGUGUACAAGUCUCUUGGAACGGAGCGUCGUAGAGGGUGACAAUCCCGUCUUUGACACGGACUGCCAGGGCUUAUGUGAUGCGCUCUCGAAGAGUCGAGUUGUUUGGGAAUGCAGCUCAAAAUGGGUGGUAAAUUCCAUCUAAAGCUAAAUAUGGGCGAGAGACCGAUAGCGAACAAGUACCGUGAGGGAAAGAUGAAAAGUACUUUGAAAAGAGAGUGAAACAGUACGUGAAAUUGUUGAAAGGGAAGCGUUUGGCAUCAGCCCAUGACGUCCGCCGAUCAUUCAGGCUUCUGUCUGAUGCACUUGAUGGGCGUCGGGUCGACGUCGGCUUUGCCUACCGGAGAAAGGCCUUGGGGAUGUGGCACCCCUAGGGGUGCGUUAUAACCCUUGGCGUCAUGCGGUGUGGUGGGGCCGAGGUCCACGGUUUAUCCUAGGACGCUGGCUUAAUGGUUCCAAAGGGACCGGUCUUGAAACACGGACCAAGGAGUCUAACAUCUAUGCGAGUUUUUGGGUGUAAAGCCCGUCCGCGCAAUGAAAGUGAAUGCAGGCGGGAGCCUUUAGAGGGUGCACCGCCGACCGGUCCGGGGGUUUACCGAAGGAUCUGAGUAAGAGCAUAGCUGUUGGGACCCGAAA